UACAUUUCUAUCUCUACGUACAUUGUUUGACGAAAGGCAACAUCUUUCCACUCAAUAGAUUGGAUUCGUACAGCUUCGAAAGUUGACCAGGUUCGGGUGCAUCGAAGGUUAUCGACAUUAGUAGUGCCAUCGGUGAGCUGUAGAACGAAUGUGAUGCGGCAAUGAAAAAGCUAGCACUUCGUCCGCGCCCAUGUUGCUAACCCUGCAUUCAAGACCCAAGCAUAGUAGUGCAACAUCUGUAAGAGAUUGGAACGGCCGUAUGAACACCCCGGUCCAGACGAAUAGCUGGGGAGGUACUUUGUACGGCGAUGGUUCACUUGGCGAUAGACCACUUGGAGUACUACUCGUGGGGUAUGCGGAAUGUGUUUGCCUUUGGUUUUAUCCUUACCAAUGCAGAUUUCUCUAUGCAGACAGAAUGUCAACAGACAAUUCAUAUUCUGAACGUGAAGCCCAUGAAGAGCAACUGCUAGCACGUUAGGUUUUGGCUGCGCAGAUCAAGAUGCCGGAUACGUUGUGAAAAAACGUGGAUGUAUUUCAAUAUUAGAUAUACAACGAACGAUAAGAAUCAUUACUGGUGCAGUUCAAAUAAACCUCUAAAAUAAUACCACUGACAAAUAUUGAGCCUGGCUGGUUAAUUAAAUUUUUAGUAUAAUCUGCUCAA
Topomyia yanbarensis is the source of this 661-nucleotide long non-coding RNA. RefSeq lists it as uncharacterized. NCBI's taxonomy places the organism in Eukaryota, Metazoa, Arthropoda, Insecta, Diptera, Culicidae. The record is from RefSeq and is a predicted model, not a curated record. The transcript is spliced from 2 exons.